UACGUAGGGUGCGAGCGUUAAUCGGAAUUACUGGGCGUAAAGCGUGCGCAGGCGGUUUUGUAAGCCAGAUGUGAAAUCGCCGGGCUUAACCUGGGAGUGGCAUUUGGGACUGCAAGGCUGGAGUGUGGCAGAGGAGACUGGAAUUCCCGGUGUAGCAGUGAAAUGCGUAGAUAUCGGGAGGAAUACCGAUGGCGAAGGCAGGUCUCUGGGCUGACACUGACGCUCAUGCACGAAAGCGUGGGGAGCAAACAGG
This 253-nucleotide ribosomal RNA is filed under the name uncultured bacterium. Its description in RNAcentral is "partial 16S ribosomal RNA". It matches the Rfam family "Bacterial small subunit ribosomal RNA", at positions 524 to 776 of the family's 1533-position model. The record is from RNAcentral.